Molecule: non-coding RNA, 23 nt
Filed under: Arabidopsis thaliana (thale cress)
Lineage: Eukaryota; Viridiplantae; Streptophyta; Magnoliopsida; Brassicales; Brassicaceae
Source: RNAcentral
GGAUGGGCUGGCCUCAUUGUCGU